AAAGUCGUAACAAGGUAUCCGUAGGUGAACCUGCGGAUGGAUCAUUAGUGAAUGCGGCGGACUGCGCGAGCGGUCCCGCCUGCAACCCACCCUUGUGCACUGUACCGUACCCUGGCGGCGGGGCCUCCGGGCCGCGCCGCCGAAGGGAGGCGACCCUCCGGGGCCGUUUUCCGAACCAACUCUGUUCAACACCGACUGACAUCCAAGUAUUCUAAUGUUAAACAACUUUUGACAACGGAUCUCUUGGCUCUC
RNAcentral lists this unclassified non-coding RNA (252 nucleotides) under Chytridiomycota sp. Its description in RNAcentral is "partial contains small subunit ribosomal RNA, internal transcribed spacer 1, and 5.8S ribosomal RNA". The stretch from base 1 to 47 matches the Rfam family "Eukaryotic small subunit ribosomal RNA", at positions 1785 to 1831 of the family's 1831-position model. Lineage: Eukaryota; Fungi; Chytridiomycota. The record is from RNAcentral.